RNAcentral lists this ribosomal RNA (466 nucleotides) under uncultured bacterium. Its description in RNAcentral is "partial 16S ribosomal RNA". It matches the Rfam family "Bacterial small subunit ribosomal RNA", at positions 28 to 507 of the family's 1533-position model. The record is from RNAcentral.
GAUGAACGCUGGCGGCGUGCUUAACACAUGCAAGUCGAACGAUGAAGCCCAGCUUGCUGGGUGGAUUAGUGGCGAACGGGUGAGUAACACGUGAGUAACCUGCCCUUAACUCUGGGAUAAGCCUGGGAAACUGGGUCUAAUACCGGAUAGGAGCGUCCACCGCAUGGUGGGUGUUGGAAAGAUUUAUCGGUUUUGGAUGGACUCGCGGCCUAUCAGCUUGUUGGUGAGGUAAUGGCUCACCAAGGCGACGACGGGUAGCCGGCCUGAGAGGGUGACCGGCCACACUGGGACUGAGACACGGCCAAGACUCCUACGGGAGGCAGCAGUGGGGAAUAUUGCACAAUGGGCGCAAGCCUGAUGCAGCGACGCCGCGUGAGGGAUGACGGCCUUCGGGUUGUAAACCUCUUUCAGUAGGGAAGAAGCGAAAGUGACGGUACCUGCAGAAGAAGCACCGGCUAACUACGUG